CCUACGGGUGGCUGCAGUAGGGAAUUUUGCGCAAUGGGCGAAAGCCUGACGCAGCAACACCGCGUGUAGGAUGAAGGAUUUCGGUUCGUAAACUACUGUCGGCAGGGAAUAUAAUGACUGUACCUGCAGAGGAAGCAUCGGCUAACUACGUGCCAGCAGCCGCGGUAAGACGUAGGAUGCAAGCGUUGUCCGGAAUUAUUGGGCGUAAAGAGUUCGUAGGCGGUUAUUUAAGUCUGAUGUUAAAGCCCGGCGCUCAACGCCGGCAUGGCAUUGGA
Molecule: ribosomal RNA, 275 nt
Filed under: uncultured Vampirovibrio sp.
Lineage: Bacteria; Bacillati; Candidatus Melainabacteria; Vampirovibriophyceae; Vampirovibrionales; Vampirovibrionaceae
Description: partial 16S ribosomal RNA
Rfam family: Bacterial small subunit ribosomal RNA
Source: RNAcentral